Molecule: long non-coding RNA, 3260 nt
Filed under: Anser brachyrhynchus (Pink-footed goose)
Lineage: Eukaryota; Metazoa; Chordata; Aves; Anseriformes; Anatidae
Description: lncRNA (ENSABRG00000020344.1)
Source: RNAcentral
UAUACUUGUGCAUAUAUAUAUAUUUAAACGUAUUUAUUGCUGAGCUUCUGAGAGGUACACAGGAGCACUCUUCAUGUGAGCCAGGAAAUGAAGCUGAUUAAUAGAGCUUCUUCCUCCAAAUGCUGAAAGUAAAUUCAGCCUAAAUGAUAAUCAGUAAGUUUGAUUUUAUUCAUCCCUUCAGUCUCGAGUCUGAGAGACUGCUUUGAACAGAGGAAUACUGAUGUAGACAUCCUUGCACACUCCAUAAGGUUUCCUUUACAUUGCAAAGGCUAGAGGGCUGAUGUUACUGUCAGUCGGGGGUUAAAUAUUUAUAAUGUAUAUAAAAAUAUAUGCUAAUUUUAAAACAGAAGCUAAGUUCACCACAUGGCUUGGGGCAAAUUUAAACAAAGUCAUCAAAUCAAGAGCCAUGUUUUAUAAUAAAGCCAUAGGCAGAGCACAACAGGUAUAACUCUGAAUUUGCUUGCUAUUAAGGAUAAAUGCUGAGCUCAUGGCACCGUUUGCAUACCAACGGCUGCUCGGAGCAGGUAACUGCGCCUCCUGGGCCUGUGCUGCCACAGCGGUGCUUCUAACAGGGAGGCGACACUGACCACCACCAUCAUUCCUCAUGCCUGGGACCGCAGUGAGCUUCACACGUGCCGGAUAUGAAAUGAAAAACAGAGACCUUGGUGGUCCUGCAAGAAGCUGGAGACCUGAAGGUGCUGAGCCUUCACACCCUGUAAUGGGAAACGGUGUCUGAACAGGUCAGGGCAUCACUGGCAGAGGAGAAGCGAGUCACCAAGAGGUCCAGCACCAUGGGAUCCAACGCCACAGUGUUUUCAAUACUAUGCGAAGAGACUAUCUACAUAAUUCCAGUACUGCGUGACAAGAUAACAUAUAUAAUUUCAGUAAUGUGUGAAGAGACAACUAGCAGAGGACUCUGCCUCCUUUAUAUGAUUCUAUACUCCCAGUUUAAAUUGUGUCACCAGUUUCUGCUUCCAGUCCUUCACGCAAAUGCUUGGGAGGUGCUUUUCUCCCCUACCCAGGAAAAAAUAAAGAGGACUUCAAGUGGAGACAAUCCACACUUAGAUUUAGGAAUGAGGCUUGCCAGUGGGCUCCUCGCAAGGAAAGGAGGCGCUGGGGCUUUCGUCCCCAGCCAGCGGCACUCCCCGGUCUGCCUGGAGCCUGCAGAGCGCUCUGUGGCUGCCCCUAAAGCUGAGCACGCAGCCGCCUCCAUCCCCGCUCUUGCUUCUGAACAAAGGGGACUUUACGUCCAGCUUUGCCGUCUUUUAAUAACGUACACAGCAGCAGUCAGGGAUAUAAAGACAGCAACUGGGAAUUCACAUGCAUUUUAGCUCCAAGAGGGAAAGAAGGGGAGACAGGGAGAAGCCUUUAUGAGAAAGAAGGGUGAGCCAGGCCUGGGAGCCCCGUGGAGGGCCGGGCACAGCGGUGGUACAGCUGGAGACGAAGCAGAAAGGGGAUGCUUUCCUACCUAUCUCAGCCAUCCAGUCCCACCAGCUCUCCCUUACACCACGUUAAUUCAAAGACACAAACUUUUAAGGAUUUACCGCACAUUUCUACCUGAAAUACAUUUCCAUAGAAAAAAGAAAAAGGAAAGCCAAAUGCAGACCUUCAUAUAACCCACCAGGGAAACCUGACACCAUGACUUUGACCUGUUGGCACCUCCUGGACACACAACUGUGGAACACAAGCAGGCAUCUUCUCCUUUUAUUUCUCCUUAACAAUCAAAUGCAAACUGCACAAUGCAAGAAGCAAUGACGUCCACUAGGAACUGCAAGCCUUGUUAAGAAUUAUUUAUAGCAGACUGGGGAUUUGCACUUCCUCAGUCCAGAAGAAAACGCUGCUCCGACCUAACCACUUCCAAAAUCCGAAGCAGUCUGUAAAGUCACCAACAUGGAAAUAGUUCAGGAGCUUAAUGCUUGAUUGGUGUAAAACUGUCUUUCCGAGUCUACAGGCAGACAUUUUCCCACUGAUUCUUGUGUUGUCAAAAAGCAGCAGCACUUUUGCUUCGUCUCUGCAAAACCCUACAAACCUGAAUCCUCCGGCUGCUCACACAAAAGCACAAGCACCCAUAAAUACGUUCGCACUCUGGAUUAACCAAGACCACUUCUACUCCUCAGCAUCACUCUCUUCUUCCUAUUCCUUCUGCAGUAGCCAGGAGAACAGGGGAGGAGGAGCACGGUGAAAAUUUAUUGUUGGUUAUUACCAUUAUUGCAAGCACAAGUGCCCUGGAGAUGAUGACCUACAUACAUUUGGUAUCCGCACCCAAACAGCCUGUGCUCUGACCGCAGUGGGAGGGGAGGCAGACGCAUGCCCAGGAGGAUUUGGAGGAGGCAGGAGAAAGAAGGAAAGAAAGUCACCCCGUCCUUGUGUUUCACACAACAAGACAGAAGUUGUUGGAAAGCCAACGAAGCGGAGAUGCAGGAAAAUACCUCAGUGGGCACCUCAGCACCCUCCGGUUUCCCUGUUUUUAGAGGUUUGGCCAGGUCUUCGGACAGAACUGAUCCCAAGCUUUUCUCAGACCUUCCUGUUCCCGUCCAAGCACUGUAAGAUGAUGGCAGAGAAGAACUGUGUGCUGCCAUCCAGCUUUUGCUGACAGUGCAGAGCACAGAAGAGACGAGGCCGUGGAGGAACGGUGGGACGGCGCCCGUGAGGCCCGGCUGGCAGCCCGCAGCAGCGCAGGCCUGCCCAGCUCUCUGUGCCCUGGGAGGCUCUGAGGCCUUGGUCGUGGGUGUAAACCAGGCCACUAACGUGUGCGUGAGGCUGCCUUUGGUAGACACACAAGAUAUCCCUGCGUUUACCUACAGAUGGGCGAAGGGAACCGCGCACUUGGAUCAGUCCACGAUGGGGAAACGACCGCUUGUCAGACCGGGCUGUCUCACGGGGACAGCUUACACACGCAGAUGGCCGCUGGGCUCCACUGCCAGGGCAUCAACAAGCCCCUGUUUUUAUGUCCUGUAACGCUUCAAAAGCCAACUGCACAGACAACAGACAGCAAAGUCCCACCACAUCCAUUCAGAAAGGAGCAAGUUAUUUCUUAAAUUCAUUGAUUUGGGGCUUCCCUCCUACAGGCAGGGCAGGAAUCCUUGCUGCAGGCCAGCUCUCCCCUAAAACACCGCAACAAAGACAAAACUCCCAAACCUUGCUCAAAUGCCUGCAACUGAGCACACUCCAAGCACAAGUGACUGCUGCCCUCAUUAGGAAGGACAAAGUGUUAUCAGCAGCGGGGGGAGGAAAUAAAAAUAAAAAAAAUAAAAAAAGCA